UGACGGUACUUGACUAAGAAGCUCCGGCUAAAUACGUGCCAGCAGCCGCGGUAAUACGUAUGGAGCAAGCGUUAUCCGGAUUUACUGGGUGUAAAGGGAGCGUAGACGGGAAGUUAAGUUAGUUGUGAAAUCCCUCGGCUCAACUGAGGAACUGCAACUAAAACUGAUUUUCUUGAGUACUGGAGAGGAAAGUGGAAUUCCUAGUGUAGCGGUGAAAUGCGUAGAUAUUAGGAGGAACACCAGUGGCGAAGGCGACUUUCUGGACAGAAACUGACGUUGAGGCACGAAAGUGUGGGGAGCAAACAGGAUUAGAUACCCUG
Molecule: ribosomal RNA, 320 nt
Filed under: uncultured bacterium
Lineage: Bacteria
Description: bacterial SSU rRNA
Rfam family: Bacterial small subunit ribosomal RNA
Source: RNAcentral